UACGUAGGGGCUAGCGUUGUCCGGAAUCAUUGGGCGUAAAGCGCGUGUAGGCGGCCCGGUAAGUCCGCUGUGAAAGUCCAGGGCUCAACCCUGGGAUGCCGGUGGAUACUGUCGGGCUCGAGUCCGGAAGAGGCGAGUGGAAUUCCUGGUGUAGCGGUGAAAUGCGCAGAUAUCAAGGAGGAACACCAAUGGCGAAGGCAGCUCGCUGGGACGUGACUGACGCUGAGACGCGAAGCGUGGGGAGCAAACAGG
RNAcentral lists this ribosomal RNA (252 nucleotides) under uncultured bacterium. RNAcentral's name for it is "partial 16S ribosomal RNA". It matches the Rfam family "Bacterial small subunit ribosomal RNA", at positions 524 to 776 of the family's 1533-position model. The record is from RNAcentral.